CAGUCGCCGCGGUAAUACGGAGGGGGCUAGCGUUGUUCGGAAUUACUGGGCGUAAAGCGCACGUAGGCGGACCGGAAAGUCAGAGGUGAAAUCCCAGGGCUCAACCUUGGAACUGCCUUUGAAACUCCUGGUCUUGAGGUCGAGAGAGGUGAGUGGAAUUCCGAGUGUAGAGGUGAAAUUCGUAGAUAUUCGGAGGAACACCAGUGGCGAAGGCGGCUCACUGGCUCGAUACUGACGCUGAGGUGCGAAAGCGUGGGGAGCAAACAGGAUUAGAUACCCCUGUAGUCCCUGUCUCUUAUAA
Molecule: ribosomal RNA, 301 nt
Filed under: uncultured bacterium
Lineage: Bacteria
Description: partial 16S ribosomal RNA
Rfam family: Bacterial small subunit ribosomal RNA
Source: RNAcentral